This is a non-coding RNA of Populus trichocarpa (black cottonwood), 135 nucleotides long. The record is from Rfam. NCBI's taxonomy places the organism in Eukaryota, Viridiplantae, Streptophyta, Magnoliopsida, Malpighiales, Salicaceae.
UAGUUUGCCUGGAGCAUAUCAUCACCUAGUUGUGAUGGAUCAUCAUCGUAAUACUCAAAACCUUUAGUUUUUACAACCUGGCUGCAUCAUUUUCCUUCAAUAAAAAACAUCUUGAGAUUUGGACUUUGACAGCAA